UUACAUGUAAAUUUUUGUGAGUAAUAUUUUGUAUAAUAAAGAUUAAAAGUUAUUCUCUAAAAGAGAUUAAUUCAUAUGUAAUUAAUUAAAUACCCGCAGUUUUUAUUAUUAUUAUAUUUAAUAUUUUAAGAUAUAGUUUCCUUAAAUUUGAUUGGCUAAAAUUGUGCCAGCAGCCGCGGUUAUACAAUUAAUCAAAGUUAAUUUUAUUUAUUAGAUAUUAUUUAUGUAAGAUUAGAUUUUUAAUUAUUUUGUUUUUAGGUGAAAUUUAAAUAAUUGUUAUUAAAAUUUGGUUAUAAUAUUAUAUGAAAUUUUAUUAUGUAGACAAGGAUUAGAUACCCUUUUAUUUUAAAUGUAAAUCUUUCUGUUUAGUAUUAUUAGUUUAGUCUUUAAAUUAAAAGAAUUUGACGGUAAUUUGAUCAUUUCAGAGGAACCUGUCCUGUAAUUGAUAAUCCACGAUAAAUUUUACCUUAAUUUAUUGUUUGUAUAUCUCUGUUUAUGAGUAUUUUAUUAGAAUUUAUUUAUAUUCUCUUUAUAUUAAUAUUUUAAUAUAUAUCAGGUCAAGGUGCAGCUAUAUUAAGGGUUGAGAUGGGUUACAUUUAAUUUAAUAUUUAUGGAUUAUUUAGUUUUAUUAUUAAAAUGAAAUUGGAUUUGAAUGUAAUAAUUAUUAUCUUUUAUUUAUGAUAAUUGCUCUUGAUUAAGUACACAUCGCCCGUCGCUCUCAUUUAUAAGGUGAGAUAAGUCGUAACAAAGUAGGCUUAUCGGAAGGUGAGCCUGGAAUUAUA
Molecule: non-coding RNA, 782 nt
Filed under: Megymenum brevicorne
Lineage: Eukaryota; Metazoa; Arthropoda; Insecta; Hemiptera; Dinidoridae
Source: RNAcentral